Aquila chrysaetos chrysaetos is the source of this 132-nucleotide long non-coding RNA. RefSeq lists it as uncharacterized. The transcript is spliced from 3 exons. Lineage: Eukaryota; Metazoa; Chordata; Aves; Accipitriformes; Accipitridae. The record is from RefSeq and is a predicted model, not a curated record.
AAGAGAAAUAUGAAGUGAAAAUUGUGGUAGGUCGACCCUGGCUGGAUGCCAGGUGACCACCAAAGCCUCUGUAUCACUCCCCCUCCUCAGCUAGACCGGGGAGAGAAAAUAUAACAAAGGCUUGUGGGUCAA